UAUGUGGACUGAAAAUAAGUAGGGAAGCACGUGAGCUGACUGUCAAGAAAAGCCGCUAUUGUUUGCAGGAUACCCGUACCGUAAACCGACACAGGUGGAUGAGGAGAGAAUCCUAAGGCCGACGGGAGAAGCAUUGUUAAGGAACUCGGCAAAAUGACUCCGUAACUUCGGGAGAAGGAGUGCCAGUAAGAUGGCCGCAGAGAAUUGGCCCAAGCAACUGUUUAGCAAAAACACAGGUCUAUGCAAAACCGAAAGGUGAGGUAUAUGGGCUGACGCCUGCCCGGUGCUGGAAGGUUAAGGGGAGAGGUUAGCGCAAGCGAAGCUUUGAACUUAAGCCCCAGUAAACGGCGGCCGUAACUAUAACGGUCCUAAGGUAGCGAAAUUCCUUGUCGGGUAAGUUCCGACCCGCACGAAAGGCGUAAUGAUUUGGGCACUGUCUCAACAAUGCACCCGGUGAAAUUGAAAUACCAGUGAAGAUGCUGGUUACCUGCGCCAGGACGGAAAGACCCCAUGGAGCUUUACUCCAGCUUGAUACUGGGAUUCGGUAUUGCAUGUACAGGAUAGGUGGGAGGCUAGGAAAUGGUAACGCCAGUUGCCAUGGAGCCAAUGUUGGGAUACCACCCUUGCAGUACUGGGUUUCUAACCAGCAGCCGUGAUCCGGCUGGGGGACAAUGUCAGGUGGGGAGUUUGACUGGGGCGGUCGCCUCCGAAAGGGUAUCGGAGGCGCUCAAAGGUUCCCUCAGAAUGGUUGGAAACCAUUCGAAGAGUGCAAAGGCAGAAGGGAGCUUGACUGCGACACCGACGGGUGGAGCAGGUACGAAAGUAGGACUUAGUGAUCCGGUGGUAUAAAGUGGGAUUGCCAUCGCUCAACGGAUAAAAGCUACCCUGGGAUAACAGGCUUAUCACUCCCAAGAGUUCACAUCGACGGAGUGGUUUGGCACCUCGAUGUCGGCUCAUCGCAUCCUGGGGCUGAAGUAGGUCCCAAGGGUUGGGCUGUUCGCCCAUUAAAGCGGUACGCGAGCUGGGUUCAGAACGUCGUGAGACAGUUCGGUCCCUAUCCGGCGUGGGCGUAAGAUAUUUGAGAGGAGCUGUCCUUAGUACGAGAGGACCGGGAUGGACUGGCCGCUGGUGUAUCUGUUGUCUUACCAAAGGCAUAGCAGAGUAGCCAAGCCGGGAAGGGAUAAACGCUGAAGGCAUCUAAGCGUGAAGCCCCCCUCAAGAUGAGAUAUCUCAUAACGUCAAGUUAGUAAGACCCCUUGAAGACGACGAGGUAGAUAGGGCAGAGGUGGAAGUGUGGUAACACAUGGAGCUGACUGUUACUAAUAGGUCGAGGGCAUAACC
RNAcentral lists this ribosomal RNA (1341 nucleotides) under metagenome. RNAcentral describes it as "bacterial LSU rRNA". It matches the Rfam family "Bacterial large subunit ribosomal RNA", at positions 1565 to 2925 of the family's 2925-position model. The record is from RNAcentral.